AGAAAUAGAAUUUGGUCAUUGCUACAAUUUUUCAUGUCACUGUAAUUUAACUAUAAUUGUAUUUAUUUAACCAAUAAUUUAUUUAUCUCAUGUUCAUUGCAAGGACUAAAUAUUAUAAAUACAUUUACUCUAUUUUCCCCUACCUAAUAUUGAUCAAGUUCUUUAUCUAAUACGAAGCCCUAUGUUUAUUUUUCACGUAAUACGAUGCAGAUGGACCGGCA
Molecule: long non-coding RNA, 221 nt
Filed under: Setaria italica (foxtail millet)
Lineage: Eukaryota; Viridiplantae; Streptophyta; Magnoliopsida; Poales; Poaceae
Description: long non-coding RNA (SITA_LNC006842)
Source: RNAcentral